This 2711-nucleotide long non-coding RNA is filed under the name Musa acuminata (dwarf banana). RNAcentral's name for it is "long non-coding RNA (MACU_LNC006366)". Lineage: Eukaryota; Viridiplantae; Streptophyta; Magnoliopsida; Zingiberales; Musaceae. The record is from RNAcentral.
GACGGCCCAGGUGGCGGAGCGGUUGUUCGGCUCAGGGGUUCACAUGUCGGUGGGGGCGCGUGUGGGUCCUCGAGAUCCAUGAUUGAGUACGUUCCGAGUGGUGACACGAUUCGGGUUCUGCCGACUUGAAGGACACGUGUCGGGACGCAGGGCCGGGGGCGGUUCCGUAAACGGGUGGCGGCCCGCAGCGGGAAGACGACGGCCGGUAGUUUCUCGAAACGCAUCUUAUGCUUGGAAGUUUCCAAAUCGGACCGCAAGAAAUCCCAAAUUGAGUUCGGUCCGGUACUUACUAUGGAAAAGAUAUUCUCGUUGGCCAAUUGGUCUCCGAAUUUUAGGUUGAAGGAGGGAAAUUGCAGCUCUCAGUCGCCAUGCUUACGCUCCAUUGCAAUCUAACGCAUUCGUUAAUGACAUAUGACAUUUUCGUCGAUCAAUAGGUCUCCGGAUUUUAGGUUUGAGUAGGGAAAUUGCAGCUCUCAGUCGUCAUCCUUACGCUUCAUCGGCUCAAUGGUUCAUCGGUUAUGGCCGGGAUGCAUCAUUGUCUCUGAAACCAAACCUGAGGGAUUUCAUGUGGAAGGCAUCAUUGUGAACCACAUGUAGCACAUUAAAAGAGCGCUCCCGACAACCCACCCCGUGAGGGUAGAAGAGAUAUCGUCAGAGAGGAUAUGAGUGGAGGCAAGAAGAGGUGCCCAAAGUUGAGGGACUCCACGCCAAAGAGAGUCCCUCCAUCCAUCACUGAGCCGCCCAUACCGUCGUUGACUUGGUGGUCUGUCAGUCCAUCAGGUUAUGACUUCCAUUCAAGAUGCCUUUUUUUUUUCUUUUAAAAUCAAACGUUCAUCCUUUUAUGAAUGAAAAAAAAAAAAGAAAUGUUAAAUUUUUUAUUUGAUCCAAUUAGAUGGAGAUUUGAGAACAACAAAAGAAGUGAGAUGAACAGUUUAAGAAUCUUCUAUAGCUUUCCUAUGAAGGGGGGUGCACAUAAUUUGCAGUUUUCUUCUCCUUGUGGUGGAAUCCAGAUUAAAAUAUACUGCCCUCUUCUGUUGGCAGCGUAUGUUGUCAUGGGCUCCACUAAAGAAUAAAGAACAAUCAAUCUAGUAAAGGGAAAAAAGAAAUCUAGUCCUAGCAUCGGUGGAGUUGAUGCUGGCUCGUGUUCGAGAGACAUGUGACCCACUUUUAUGUGAAAUGAGAAAGAAAAGGUGAAAUGGAUAUUUUAAAGGCCUGAACCUGAUGAGAAAUGAAUAUAAUGAUCAAAAUAGAGGAGUUGAAUGCAUUAAGCAAAAUAGAUUCCCUGUUAACCUUUGUGAGAUAAUUAGGCUUAAGGUUGGUCGUCUUGUCGGAUUCUGCAGCCCUUAUGAAACUUGUGGAUUUCUACGACUUGGAGGCAUCACAUGAAAACGGAUGUCAAAAGCAAUACUUAAAUAGGUAUUGGAUGUCAAGUUUCACUGCAUGUGAACAGGUCAUGUCCUAAGGAGCAGUUUUGUAGAACUUUGCGCGAGGGCGUGACAGAUCGAGCUAUGGAAAGCAAUUUGGUAUCCCCAUUUUAAUUCAAAAUUAUAAUGAAGAUGAUGAGAUGACCAUACUCUUGUAAAAGGUGACGAAUGUAUGUAAAAAGAUGGAUAAAAGACUAAAGAUAUCAAGAAAAUUAACUGUUUAGUACAUGAUAAUGGUGUGUAUCACAGAAACCUGGUCUCAACCUUAGUGUAAUGUUGUAGUUUAUGAUCACCUCAUUUGACACCUAUAAACAAAUCCAAUGUGUUUAUAUAAAAUACUGAUCUAAGUUAAUGCAGACACAGUGACUUGAUUAUGGGAAAUUGAUUGUUUUCUUUUGCUAAAUAAAUCAACUCUUUUGGAGAUUUUUUUUUUCUAGUAUAAUUUGUUUUUUCUUGAUGCAAUUUUUUUUUUCUUUGUUUCAAUUUCCUUACUAUAUCAGUACCAAUCAUGACCGACCACACAUUAACCAGUCAUGAAAUAUAGAAAUAUCAAACCCACGCAUGAUAGAGGGCAACAUCCAGCUGAACAGAUAAUAGAAGCUCACCACAAACAAUUCUUGGAUGCUGACAGAAAAGGUUGUAUUUCCACAUAUUCUAGCAAAAUGAAUCCUUUAGUUCAGAUGACAUCCAUGAAAAAUGAGAAAGGUUUUAUAUGAUGACCUCAUAAUCUUAAUUGAGAAAUAGUAGCACAAAUUCGGAAUCAAAAAAACAAAAUUUGAUGCUGAAAGAAAUUUCAUAAUUUAACUACAUGACUAUAGCUCCAAACCAUAUGAUUCAAGCCUAAAUGACUUGUAUCAUAAGGAUCAUGAAACAAGAAGCCAAACCUUGACAUGAACACCAAUGUUAACCAACACCGGAUUUAAGCAUAGAAAAGUUCUACAAAAGUUCUACAUGCAUCAGAAUCAAACAGACAAAUUUAUUCAUUCAAGUUAUAGCAUAUAAAAUACAAGCUGAUUAUUAAGGUGUUUUCUUACAGAUCGGAUGUAUUUACUCAAAGAAAAAUGUUUGACUGUACACAAAUUAUGCCUGGUAUUCAGCCUAUAAUAUAUGGCGACAAAUUUUCUGCAUGUUACAGGUAAAAAAAAAAAUGGAAAUAAGUGUACUGUAGUCAUACAUUAUUUACGGUCUCACACUGUUGGAUGGUAUCCAGGAUUUAGGGUCACUUGUGUCAGUUGGAGGUUUCUCCUCGCACCCCACUCUUGACAGCAUUCUAGUGCGAGCCGAAAG